RNAcentral lists this ribosomal RNA (119 nucleotides) under Pteropus vampyrus (large flying fox). Lineage: Eukaryota; Metazoa; Chordata; Mammalia; Chiroptera; Pteropodidae. The record is from RNAcentral.
GUCUAUGGCCGUGCCACCCUGAACAAGCCUGAUUCCGUCUGUUCUUGGAAGCUAAGCAGGGUCGAGUCUGGUUAGUACUUGGAUAGGAGACCACCUAGGAAGACUGGGUGCUAUAGAUG